CAGUCGCCACGGGAAUACGGAGGGGGCUAGCGUUGUUCGGAAUUACUGGGCGUAAAGCGCACGUAGGCGGCUUGGUAAGUUAGAGGUGAAAGCCUGGAGCUCAACUCCAGAAUUGCCUUUAAGACUGCCGAGCUAGCAGGUGAGAGAGGUAAGUGGAAUUCCGAGUGUAGAGGUGAAAUUCGUAGAUAUUCGGAAGAACACGAGUGGCGAAGGCGGCUUACUGGCUCAUACUGGACGCUGAGGUGCGAAAGCGUGGGGAGCAAACAGGAUUAGAUACCCCCGUAGUCCCUGUCUCUUAUAA
Molecule: ribosomal RNA, 301 nt
Filed under: uncultured bacterium
Lineage: Bacteria
Description: partial 16S ribosomal RNA
Rfam family: Bacterial small subunit ribosomal RNA
Source: RNAcentral